UACGUAGGGUGCGAGCGUUAAUCGGAAUUACUGGGCGUAAAGCGUGCGCAGGCGGUUUUGUAAGCCAGAUGUGAAAUCCCCGGGCUUAACCUGGGAAUGGCAUUUGGGACUGCAAGGCUUGGAGUGCGGCAGAGGAGACUGGAAUUCCUGGUGUAGCAGUGAAAUGCGUAGAUAUCAGGAGGAACACCGAUGGCGAAGGCAGGUCUCUGGGCUGACAACUGACG
RNAcentral lists this ribosomal RNA (224 nucleotides) under uncultured bacterium. RNAcentral describes it as "partial 16S ribosomal RNA". It matches the Rfam family "Bacterial small subunit ribosomal RNA", at positions 524 to 745 of the family's 1533-position model. The record is from RNAcentral.